UACGGGGGGGGGCAAGCGUUGUUCGGAAUCACUGGGCUUAAAGCGUGUGUAGGCGGAUUUGUAAGUACCUUGUGAAAUCCCACGGCUCAACCGUGGAACUGCUUGGUAUACUGCUUAUCUUGGGUCAUCUAGGGGCGAGCGGAACAAACGGUGGAGCGGUGAAAUGCGUAGAUAUCGUUUGGAACGCCAAUGGUGAAAACAGCUCGCUGGGGAUGUACCGACGCUGAGACACGAAAGCCAGGGGAGCGAACGGG
This 254-nucleotide ribosomal RNA is filed under the name uncultured bacterium. Its description in RNAcentral is "partial 16S ribosomal RNA". It matches the Rfam family "Bacterial small subunit ribosomal RNA", at positions 524 to 776 of the family's 1533-position model. The record is from RNAcentral.